Molecule: ribosomal RNA, 548 nt
Filed under: uncultured archaeon
Lineage: Archaea
Description: bacterial SSU rRNA
Rfam family: Archaeal small subunit ribosomal RNA
Source: RNAcentral
CAGUAACACGUGGAUAACCUGCCCUUAGGUUUGGCAUAACUCCGGGAAACUGGAGAUAAUUCCGAAUAAACCAUUAUUGCUGGAAUGCUUUUUGGUUCAAAGGCUUCGGUUGCCUAAGGAUGGAUCUGCGGUCUAUCAGGUAGUAGUGGGUGUAGUGUACCUACUAGCCUACGACGGAUAUGGGUUGUGAGAGCAAGAGCCCAGAGAUGGAUUCUGAGACAUGAAUCCAGGCCCUACGGGGCGCAGCAGGCGCUAAAACUUUACAAUGCGGGAAACCGCGAUAAGGGGACACCGAGUGCCAGCAUAUUAUGUUGGCUGUCCACAUGUGUAAACGGCAUGUGUUAGCAAGGGCCGGGCAAGACCGGUGCCAGCCGCCGCGGUAACACCGGCGGCCCGAGUGGUAAUCACUUUUAUUGGGUCUAAAGGGUCCGUAGCCGGUUUGAUCAGUUCUUCGGGAAAUCUGACAGCUCAACUGUUACGCUUCCGGGGAAUACUGUCAGACUUGGGACCGGGAGAGGUAAGAGGUACUACAGGGGUAGGAGUGAAAU